ACGGGAGGCAGCAGUGGGGAAUAUUGGACAAUGGGGGGAACCCUGAUCCAGCGACGCCGCGUGAGUGAAGAAGUAUUUCGGUAUGUAAAGCUCUAUCAGCAGGGAAGAUGAUGACGGUACCUGACUAAGAAGCACCGGCUAAAUACGUGCCAGCAGCCGCGGUAAUACGUAUGGUGCAAGCGUUAUCCGGAUUUACUGGGUGUAAAGGGAGCGUAGGCGGCUAUGCAAGUCAGGUGUGAAAACCCGGGGCUCAACCCCGUGGAUUGCUUUUGAGACUGUGUUGCUGGAGUACAGGAGGGGCAGGCGGAAUUCCUGGUGUAGCGGUGAAAUGCGUAGAUAUCAGGAGGAACACCGGUGGCGAAGGCGGCCUGCUGGACUGUAACUGACGCUGAGGCUCGAAGGCGUGGGGAGCAAACAGGAUUAGAUACCCUGGUA
RNAcentral lists this ribosomal RNA (435 nucleotides) under uncultured Lachnospiraceae bacterium. Its description in RNAcentral is "bacterial SSU rRNA". It matches the Rfam family "Bacterial small subunit ribosomal RNA", at positions 341 to 792 of the family's 1533-position model. Lineage: Bacteria; Bacillati; Bacillota; Clostridia; Lachnospirales; Lachnospiraceae. The record is from RNAcentral.